Molecule: ribosomal RNA, 484 nt
Filed under: uncultured bacterium
Lineage: Bacteria
Description: partial 16S ribosomal RNA
Rfam family: Bacterial small subunit ribosomal RNA
Source: RNAcentral
AUUGAACGCUGGCGGCAGGCCUAACACAUGCAAGUCGAGCGGACGAAGGGAGCUUGCUCCUGGAUUCAGCGGCGGACGGGCGAGUAAUGCCUAGGAAUCUGCCUGGUAUUGGGGGAUAACGUCCGGAAACGGGCGCUAAUAUCGCAUACGUCCUGAUGGAGAAAGUGGGGGAUCUUCGGACCUCACGCUAUCUGAUGAGCCUAGGUCGGAUUAGCUAGUUGGUGGGGUAAAGGCCUACCAAGGCGACGAUCCGUAACUGGUCUGAGAGGAUGAUCGGUCACACUGGAACUGAGGCACGGUCCAGACUCCUACGGGAGGCAGCAGUGGGGAAUAUUGGACAAUGGGCGAAAGCCUGAUGCAGCCAUGCCGCGUGUGUGAAGAAGGUCUUCGGAUUGUAAAGCACUUUUAGUUGGGAGGAAGGACAGUAAGUUAAUACCUGGCUGUUUUGACGUUACCAACAGAAUAAGCACCGGCUAACUUCGUG